Notolabrus celidotus (New Zealand spotty) is the source of this 1145-nucleotide long non-coding RNA. RefSeq lists it as uncharacterized. The record is from RefSeq and is a predicted model, not a curated record. NCBI's taxonomy places the organism in Eukaryota, Metazoa, Chordata, Actinopteri, Labriformes, Labridae. The transcript has 7 exons.
CACAACUCCCCCCAACCCAAUGAACAAGAAGACCCAAAGGCUUUUCAAGAAGUGUGCUGCAGUCUGCAGGCGGGGAGAAAACACCUCAGUGAAGAAGAGGCCACCACCAGUGGAGGGUGCGAAGGCUUACAUCAGAUGUGGAUUACUACCCGUGUGUGAAACACUGCAUCUAAAGCCAAGAUUGAGCCUCUGAGAAAACCAGAACUUUUUCACUGAAGACCAAACUUUUACCAGGAAUGCCGUGGUCAACCGUAGACGAUCCCCAGCAAGAAGAGAGCCAUGGGAAAAACCUGGAGCAGGAUCUCGGCUGUGAGGAAGGGAUCCAGACUGGUGAAGACGUGUCAAGAUGCAAGGUUCAUUUCGGGCUUCAUCCGCAUCGACAAAAAACAACGGUCACAGGUGAGGUCCUUGGGAACAAAGUUGCAUGCAGCUGCAUCCAGAGGCCACACCAUGUCCCGUGAUCAGAUAGAGAGAAGCCUUUUUUUUUUUUAAGUCACGAAUCAGAAACGUGUCACGGAUCAUAGUGGACUCAAAGGGGUUUUCGACUGCACGGAUUCAUCUGGAGAAAACUUUCCAGACAGUGAAGGAAAGCCAAGAAGAGAUGACGACGAGCUUCUCCAGAGGGGGCAGAGCCUUUUGGCCGGCUUUGUGAGCUGAACACUUUACACGGUUCAAUAAAAAGACAGCCAAAGUUCAUGACCCCGAUAUAUGAUUCACAGCCAUGAAAGUUACAAGACUGAAGUGACCGCAAACACUUUGAUGGUUCCAUUUACAAAAAGACUCAUCACCACCGUGAUGGUUUUCAGUCAUGGAAAUGUUUAAACUCCUCCCAGCAACUCAAAAAAAAAAAUACUAGUCCUUCAAAUAGAAGAAAUGUUCUCUUUGGUUGAGCUGCAUCUUAUUAUUAUUAAUAAAUCCACAUGUCCUUGUGUAUUUAUAAAUUUAUUAUAUGCAUGAAAUGAUUGCAAAAAUUCCUGAUCCUGGUGUCAAUGAUGACAGAUAACAGAUAUAUUUAAUUAAACUACAAGACAAAUAAAGUCUUUACAACUCAGAUGCUGUGAAGAGAUUUAUAAUUUUUAUUCAUGUGCAUACAGAAUGUGCCUUGUUCUGUUCUUGACUAACCAAAAUUAUGACAAUAAAAUGUA